Molecule: non-coding RNA, 104 nt
Filed under: Lingulaulax polyedra
Lineage: Eukaryota; Dinophyceae; Gonyaulacales; Lingulodiniaceae
Source: RNAcentral
CCACUUUGGGUAAAGUCCAGGGUCACUACAGUUGGGAAAAUGUUCGCGAAUGGAACGGUAUCCCAUACGCCAAGCCCCCCGUAGGCGCACUGCGCUGGGAGUAC